AGCGUACACGGUGGAUGCCCUGGCAGUCAGAGGCGAUGAAGGACGUGCUAAUCUGCGAUAAGCGUCGGUAAGGUGAUAUGAACCGUUAUAACCGGCGAUUUCCGAAUGGGGAAACCCAGUGUGAUUCGUCACACUAUCAUUAACUGAAUCCAUAGGUUAAUGAGGCGAACCGGGGGAACUGAAACAUCUAAGUACCCCGAGGAAAAGAAAUCAACCGAGAUUCCCCCAGUAGCGGCGAGCGAACGGGGAGCAGCCCAGAGCCUGAAUCAGUGUGUGUGUUAGUGGAAGCGUCUGGAAAGGCGCGCGAUACAGGGUGACAGCCCCGUACACAAAAAUGCACAUGCUGUGAGCUCGAUGAGUAGGGCGGGACACGUGGUAUCCUGUCUGAAUAUGGGGGGACCAUCCUCCAAGGCUAAAUACUCCUGACUGACCGAUAGUGAACCAGUACCGUGAGGGAAAGGCGAAAAGAACCCCGGCGAGGGGAGUGAAAAAGAACCUGAAACCGUGUACGUACAAGCAGUGGGAGCACGCUUAGGCGUGUGACUGCGUACCUUUUGUAUAAUGGGUCAGCGACUUAUAUUCUGUAGCAAGGUUAACCGAAUAGGGGAGCCGAAGGGAAACCGAGUCUUAACUGGGCGUUAAGUUGCAGGGUAUAGACCCGAAACCCGGUGAUCUAGCCAUGGGCAGGUUGAAGGUUGGGUAACACUAACUGGAGGACCGAACCGACUAAUGUUGAAAAAUUAGCGGAUGACUUGUGGCUGGGGGUGAAAGGCCAAUCAAACCGGGAGAUAGCUGGUUCUCCCCGAAAGCUAUUUAGGUAGCGCCUCGUGAAUUCAUCUCCGGGGGUAGAGCACUGUUUCGGCAAGGGGGUCAUCCCGACUUACCAACCCGAUGCAAACUGCGAAUACCGGAGAAUGUUAUCACGGGAGACACACGGCGGGUGCUAACGUCCGUCGUGAAGAGGGAAACAACCCAGACCGCCAGCUAAGGUCCCAAAGUCAUGGUUAAGUGGGAAACGAUGUGGGAAGGCCCAGACAGCCAGGAUGUUGGCUUAGAAGCAGCCAUCAUUUAAAGAAAGCGUAAUAGCUCACUGGUCGAGUCGGCCUGCGCGGAAGAUGUAACGGGGCUAAACCAUGCACCGAAGCUGCGGCAGCGACGCUUAUGCGUUGUUGGGUAGGGGAGCGUUCUGUAAGCCUGUGAAGGUGUACUGUGAGGUAUGCUGGAGGUAUCAGAAGUGCGAAUGCUGACAUAAGUAACGAUAAAGCGGGUGAAAAGCCCGCUCGCCGGAAGACCAAGGGUUCCUGUCCAACGUUAAUCGGGGCAGGGUGAGUCGACCCCUAAGGCGAGGCCGAAAGGCGUAGUCGAUGGGAAACAGGUUAAUAUUCCUGUACUUGGUGUUACUGCGAAGGGGGGACGGAGAAGGCUAUGUUGGCCGGGCGACGGUUGUCCCGGUUUAAGCGUGUAGGCUGGUUUUCCAGGCAAAUCCGGAAAAUCAAGGCUGAGGCGUGAUGACGAGGCACUACGGUGCUGAAGCAACAAAUGCCCUGCUUCCAGGAAAAGCCUCUAAGCAUCAGGUAACAUCAAAUCGUACCCCAAACCGACACAGGUGGUCAGGUAGAGAAUACCAAGGCGCUUGAGAGAACUCGGGUGAAGGAACUAGGCAAAAUGGUGCCGUAACUUCGGGAGAAGGCACGCUGAUAUGUAGGUGAAGUCCCUCGCGGAUGGAGCUGAAAUCAGUCGAAGAUACCAGCUGGCUGCAACUGUUUAUUAAAAACACAGCACUGUGCAAACACGAAAGUGGACGUAUACGGUGUGACGCCUGCCCGGUGCCGGAAGGUUAAUUGAUGGGGUUAGCGCAAGCGAAGCUCUUGAUCGAAGCCCCGGUAAACGGCGGCCGUAACUAUAACGGUCCUAAGGUAGCGAAAUUCCUUGUCGGGUAAGUUCCGACCUGCACGAAUGGCGUAAUGAUGGCCAGGCUGUCUCCACCCGAGACUCAGUGAAAUUGAACUCGCUGUGAAGAUGCAGUGUACCCGCGGCAAGACGGAAAGACCCCGUGAACCUUUACUAUAGCUUGACACUGAACAUUGAGCCUUGAUGUGUAGGAUAGGUGGGAGGCUUUGAAGUGUGGACGCCAGUCUGCAUGGAGCCGACCUUGAAAUACCACCCUUUAAUGUUUGAUGUUCUAACGUUGACCCGUAAUCCGGGUUGCGGACAGUGUCUGGUGGGUAGUUUGACUGGGGCGGUCUCCUCCUAAAGAGUAACGGAGGAGCACGAAGGUUGGCUAAUCCUGGUCGGACAUCAGGAGGUUAGUGCAAUGGCAUAAGCCAGCUUGACUGCGAGCGUGACGGCGCGAGCAGGUGCGAAAGCAGGUCAUAGUGAUCCGGUGGUUCUGAAUGGAAGGGCCAUCGCUCAACGGAUAAAAGGUACUCCGGGGAUAACAGGCUGAUACCGCCCAAGAGUUCAUAUCGACGGCGGUGUUUGGCACCUCGAUGUCGGCUCAUCACAUCCUGGGGCUGAAGUAGGUCCCAAGGGUAUGGCUGUUCGCCAUUUAAAGUGGUACGCGAGCUGGGUUUAGAACGUCGUGAGACAGUUCGGUCCCUAUCUGCCGUGGGCGCUGGAGAACUGAGGGGGGCUGCUCCUAGUACGAGAGGACCGGAGUGGACGCAUCACUGGUGUUCGGGUUGUCAUGCCAAUGGCACUGCCCGGUAGCUAAAUGCGGAAGAGAUAAGUGCUGAAAGCAUCUAAGCACGAAACUUGCCCCGAGAUGAGUUCUCCCUGACUCCUUGA
Molecule: ribosomal RNA, 2787 nt
Filed under: Escherichia coli
Lineage: Bacteria; Pseudomonadati; Pseudomonadota; Gammaproteobacteria; Enterobacterales; Enterobacteriaceae
Description: bacterial LSU rRNA
Rfam family: Bacterial large subunit ribosomal RNA
Source: RNAcentral